AUACUCUUUUUGGCAGUACCUAUCUUUAAAUUGGAAAGAUUCUGAAAAGAUUAGCAUGGCUCCUGCACAAAGAUGACAUGCAAAUUAGUGAUGUGUUUCAUAUUUGA
This 107-nucleotide small nuclear RNA is filed under the name Notamacropus eugenii (tammar wallaby). The record is from RNAcentral. Lineage: Eukaryota; Metazoa; Chordata; Mammalia; Diprotodontia; Macropodidae.